AGAGUUUGAUCCUGGCUCAGAUUGAACGCUGGCGGCAGGCCUAACACAUGCAAGUCGAGCGGAAACGAGUUAUCUGAACCUUCGGGGAACGUUAACGGCGUCGAGCGGCGGACGGGUGAGUAAUGCCUGGGAAAUUGCCCUGAUGUGGGGGAUAACCAUUGGAAACGAUGGCUAAUACCGCAUAAUAGCUUCGGCUCAAAGAGGGGGACCUUCGGGCCUCUCGCGUCAGGAUAUGCCAGGUGGGAUUAGCUAGUUGGUGAGGUAAGGGCUCACCAAGGCGACGAUCCCUAGCUGGUCUGAGAGGAUGAUCAGCCACACUGGAACUGAGACACGGUCCAGACUCCUACGGGAGGCAGCAGUGGGGAAUAUUGCACAAUGGGCGCAAGCCUGAUGCAGCCAUGCCGCGUGUAUGAAGAAGGCCUUCGGGUUGUAAAGUACUUUCAGCAGUGAGGAAGGUGUUGUCGUUAAUAGCGGCAUCAUUUGACGUUAGCUGCAGAAGAAGCACCGGCUAACUCCGUGCCAGCAGCCGCGGUAAUACGGAGGGUGCGAGCGUUAAUCGGAAUUACUGGGCGUAAAGCGCAUGCAGGUGGUUUGUUAAGUCAGAUGUGAAAGCCCGGGGCUCAACCUCGGAAUUGCAUUUGAAACUGGCAGACUAGAGUACUGUAGAGGGGGGUAGAAUUUCAGGUGUAGCGGUGAAAUGCGUAGAGAUCUGAAGGAAUACCGGUGGCGAAGGCGGCCCCCUGGACAGAUACUGACACUCAGAUGCGAAAGCGUGGGGAGCAAACAGGAUUAGAUACCCUGGUAGUCCACGCCGUAAACGAUGUCUACUUGGAGGUUGUGGCCUUGAGCCGUGGCUUUCGGAGCUAACGCGUUAAGUAGACCGCCUGGGGAGUACGGUCGCAAGAUUAAAACUCAAAUGAAUUGACGGGGGCCCGCACAAGCGGUGGAGCAUGUGGUUUAAUUCGAUGCAACGCGAAGAACCUUACCUACUCUUGACAUCCUCAGAAGCUUGUAGAGAUACGAGUGUGCCUUCGGGAACUGAGAGACAAGUGCUGCAUGGCUGUCGUCAGCUCGUGUUGUGAAAUGUUGGGUUAAGUCCCGCAACGAGCGCAACCCUUAUCCUUGUUUGCCAGCACUGCGGUUGGAUCACCUCCUU
This 1156-nucleotide ribosomal RNA is filed under the name Vibrio sp. LS16. RNAcentral describes it as "bacterial SSU rRNA". It matches the Rfam family "Bacterial small subunit ribosomal RNA", at positions 8 to 1158 of the family's 1533-position model. The record is from RNAcentral. Lineage: Bacteria; Pseudomonadati; Pseudomonadota; Gammaproteobacteria; Vibrionales; Vibrionaceae.